Molecule: long non-coding RNA, 647 nt
Filed under: Mus pahari (shrew mouse)
Lineage: Eukaryota; Metazoa; Chordata; Mammalia; Rodentia; Muridae
Description: predicted gene 15411 (MGP_PahariEiJ_G0012330.1)
Source: RNAcentral
GUGGAGCACGCAGGAGGAGAGAAGCUUGCAGUACAGCGGGGUCCGGGGCUCAGCCCACGGGAGCCUGCAGGACCCGAGCUGUGCCUCAGAGCCGUGCAAUGUCUGGACUCUGCCUCUGGAAUUGCAGUUCUCCAGAGUAAAAGCCACAAAGAGCACCACAGGAGGCUGCGGGAUCCGGGGAAGACCUGCUCCCCGGGAGCCCACGGAGACUUCCAGGAGCGUGGGAUCCAUGGACAGACUGACAGACAGCAAAGGCUGUAACUCAGAUCUGGCCGCUCUGUGCCAAUGACUGGCUGCGUAGCUGAACUCAGGCUUCACAUGAGCAAUGCCUGCUCUCACAUCAUUCAAGGGAGAAGCUUGCCCUGAUAGUUAUCUACCAACACCUUCCAUGCUCACACCGCACCCCUGGGUGCCCCUCGCUUCCUCUGCACAGCUGGGCGACUUCUCACCGCCGCGCUCCUUCAUUCGGCCUGCAAGUGGAGGAAGUCAAUAAUUUCCAGGAAUGAAUGGGCAUGUCUUUCUCUGGCAGAUCUCUCUCUCCAGUGGCCAAAAAGCUGAGGAAGGCGGGGAAUGCACCCACGAAGGCCUCGGGUACCACCAAACCAAGGCUAAAGGACAGGAAGAUGGCAUUGCGGGCUUUUCAUCUC